This is a long non-coding RNA of Erigeron canadensis, 356 nucleotides long. RefSeq lists it as uncharacterized. NCBI's taxonomy places the organism in Eukaryota, Viridiplantae, Streptophyta, Magnoliopsida, Asterales, Asteraceae. The transcript has 3 exons. The record is from RefSeq and is a predicted model, not a curated record.
UGUUCUAAUAUCACAUACAAAGAUCUAUCCACACACCAACACAACGAGCUUCAUUCAAAAACCCUAAUUUUAAUGAAGCUCUCGAUCCCCUGUUAAUUCUGAUGAAGAUGAAGACCGCAAUGCCACUGCUGAUGAACCAGUCGAUGAUGAAUACGAUGAUGAUUAUGCUUCAAGGAUGGAGAUAGAUGAUUCAAUCAACUAUUUGAUUAGAGGAAAUACCAAGACCAAUCGAUGGGCCCAAUUGCGUAGCCUCAAGUUUUGAUGAUAGUAAGUGAACCCAUUUAUGAAGCUAAGAAAAGGGACAAUGACACAAGGUACUCAGGCUAAUCAGGGAUAAGGACUGCUAUGCUAGGCUG